UGCGUAGGCGGGUUUCUAAGUCAGAGGUGAAAGCCUGGAGCUCAACUCCAGAACUGCCUUUGAUACUGGAAGUCUUGAGUUCGGGAGAGGUGAGUGGAACUGCGAGUGUAGAGGUGAAAUUCGUAGAUAUUCGCAAGAACACCAGUGGCGAAGGCGGCUCACUGGGCCAUUACUGACGCUGAGGCACGAAAGCGUGGGGAGCAAACA
RNAcentral lists this ribosomal RNA (207 nucleotides) under uncultured bacterium. Its description in RNAcentral is "partial 16S ribosomal RNA". It matches the Rfam family "Bacterial small subunit ribosomal RNA", at positions 568 to 774 of the family's 1533-position model. The record is from RNAcentral.